Molecule: ribosomal RNA, 253 nt
Filed under: uncultured bacterium
Lineage: Bacteria
Description: partial 16S ribosomal RNA
Rfam family: Bacterial small subunit ribosomal RNA
Source: RNAcentral
UACGGAAGGGGCGAGCGUUGUUCGGAAUCAUUGGGCGUAAAGGGCGUGUAGGUGGUUCUGUAUGUCUACCGUGAAAGCGUACGGCUCAACCGUAUUUAGUCGGUAGAAACUGCAGGACUUGAGGCUGGGAGGGGCUGGUGGAAUUCCCCGUGUAGCAGUGAAAUGCGUAGAGAUGUGGAGGAACACCGAUGGCGAAGGCAGCCCCCUGGGCUAACACUGACGCUCAUGCACGAAAGCGUGGGGAGCAAACAGG